CAAGUUCCGAGUAAUAUGACGCUGGGGAUAUAUACCCUCUAACCCAGGUUGCUAGUGGUAGGUCAGCAACGGACUGGAGGGCUCGACGGCGUAAGAAAUUCAAAAAACAUAUGAUAUGUUGAUGUUGUAGUAUAUAUAGAUUGUGCAGAUACGGCCACGUGUGCCCAGGCAUGCAAAAGUUGCAAUUUUUAACAUGAACUUGUGAAAGGUGGAAAAUAGAAUAAACCCCCAAGGCUUAGCUCUAAGAGUAAUUUCGAGAUCCCGAGGGUGGCGUGAGAAGUGAUAAAAAAUUAGAAAUCUUGAUAGUUGGUUGGCUCUUUCUCGGGGCAUCAGGCAGACUCGAAGAUUGAUGCAGAACUGUGCUUGACGUGAAGGAGCAGCGAGCAACUGGACGGUGACUUGGGGCAGAGGGAAACUGGACGAUUAUGAUAACGAAUCUUGGG
This 443-nucleotide small RNA is filed under the name Histoplasma capsulatum var. duboisii H88. RNAcentral describes it as "Histoplasma capsulatum H88 hypothetical RNA". Lineage: Eukaryota; Fungi; Ascomycota; Eurotiomycetes; Onygenales; Ajellomycetaceae. The record is from RNAcentral.